GCGCCUGGGGAGUACGGCCGCAAGGUUAAAACUCAAAUGAAUUGACGGGGGCCCGCACAAGCGGUGGAGCAUGUGGUUUAAUUCGACGCAACGCGAAGAACCUUACCUGGCCUUGACAUGCAGAGAACUUUCCAGAGAUGGAUUGGUGCCUUCGGGAACUCUGACACAGGUGCUGCAUGGCCGUCGUCAGCUCGUGUCGUGAGAUGUUGGGUUAAGUCCCGUAACGAGCGCAACCCCUAUCCCUAGUUGCUAGCAGUUCGGCUGAGAACUCUAGGGAGACUGCCGGUGACAAACCGGAGGAAGGUGGGGAUGACGUCAGGUCAUCAUGGCCCUUACGGCCAGGGCUACACACGUGCUACAAUGGUGCGUACAGAGGGCUGCAAACCCGCGAGGGGGAGCUAAUCUCACAAAACGCAUCGUAGUCCGGAUCGGAGUCUGCAACUCGACUCCGUGAAGUCGGAAUCGCUAGUAAUCGCGAAUCAGAAUGUCGCGGUGAAUACGUUCCCGGGCCUUGUACACACCGCCCGUCACACCAUGGGAGUGGAUUGCACCAGAAGUGGUUAGUCUAACCUU
This 573-nucleotide ribosomal RNA is filed under the name uncultured bacterium. RNAcentral describes it as "bacterial SSU rRNA". It matches the Rfam family "Bacterial small subunit ribosomal RNA", at positions 869 to 1442 of the family's 1533-position model. The record is from RNAcentral.